GUCCUUGUGUGUAUAAAUGGCUAAUGCGCUCAGCUGCUAACUGAAAGGUGGAGGUUCAAAUCCACCAGAGGACC
RNAcentral lists this transfer RNA (74 nucleotides) under Loxodonta africana (African savanna elephant). It matches the Rfam family "tRNA". From Rfam's summary of the family: Transfer RNA (tRNA) molecules are approximately 80 nucleotides in length. Their secondary structure includes four short double-helical elements and three loops (D, anti-codon, and T loops). Lineage: Eukaryota; Metazoa; Chordata; Mammalia; Proboscidea; Elephantidae. The record is from Rfam by way of RNAcentral.